Canis lupus familiaris (dog) is the source of this 3338-nucleotide long non-coding RNA. RefSeq lists it as uncharacterized. NCBI's taxonomy places the organism in Eukaryota, Metazoa, Chordata, Mammalia, Carnivora, Canidae. The transcript has 2 exons. The record is from RefSeq and is a predicted model, not a curated record.
GGGCGGGGGCGGAAGACCGGAGUCUCCGGCCGGGGGACGCCGCGCGGCCGGGGUGGGUAGCUUAGGUUUCGGUUUUCUUCAGGCUGAGGGAGCGGGCCCUCCCACGAGGCCUUCGACCUUGGGCGGAGAGCUCGGAGACGGAGACGACGCUCCGGGAUCCGCGGCGCGCUGGGUUCGAGCCCCGGCGGGAUCGCUCCGGAAGUGGCCCAGCUCCCGCCCGGAAAAAUGGGGCCAACACGGUCCUUCCUGCCCCAACGCGGCUGUUAGGAUCCCGUGAGAUGGGGCCCCCGGGCUGGCCGACACGGAGCUGGGCUGUGUAGUGAGAAGACAAACAUGGGGAAGGACACGGAGGUCACAGAGUAAUACCCCUUUAGCAAGUGAGUUUAAACCCUGAACUACGUAACCCAAAACAUCUCCUUAACUAGUUGGCUGCACCACCUCCAGUCAGAACCUUGUUUACUUGAGAAGAAGGUGCGGAGGGAGACAUUUGUUAUUUACGUACUCACACAGGGUUUGAUGUACCAAAAAGCUGAAAUCUAAACCCCAGAUUUUCUCUUUUCUGGUUCUGUGCCCUAAAAUAGUUUCAAUUUUGUCAUAUAAAAGAGCCAAUAGGGGAUCCCUGGGUGGCUCAGCGGUUUAGCGCCUGCCUUUGGCCCAGGGUGCGAUCCUGGAGACCCGGGAUCGAGUCCCGCGUCGGGCUCCCUGCGUGGAGCCUGCUUCUCCCUCUGCCUGUGUCUCUGCCUCUCUCUCUCUCUCUCUCUCUCUCUCUCUCUGUCUCUCGUGAAUAAUAAAAAAAAAAAGCCUGUAAUAACUUGCCUCGUUGGUUGUUCUGUUAAUUAAAUGAGUGCCUGGCACUUAAUCAUUUAAUAACCGGUAUAUAGAAAUUCUUUGCAUAAUCUUUACAAAUGAUCAACUCCAUGAAUGAGUAAUUGCUGUUAUAGGGACAGGCCCCGUUUUGGUUGCUGAGGUGACCGUGUCGAUUCCUGUCUAUGAAGAGAUUUCUUUCCAGUGGGGCAGACAAGUAAUAAACAGGUUAAAAAAAAAAAAAAAAACUACAUCGUUUAGCAUGUCGGUGGCAAGUGAUAAAAAUAAAGCAAGGAAGGGAUUAGGAAUGUGUGUUGUGUAGUUAGAAGGGAUAGCAGCUGAAAUUGUAGAUACCCCUAGGGAAGGCAACAUGAAGGAAGUGAGGAGACGGAGCUAGCCACACAGCUGUCUGGAAAGUAGCAUCUGAGGUACAGGGCACAGCAGGUGUAGGGGUCCUUAGACAGAAGUGUGCCCGGUUCCAGAAAUAACUGAAGAGACGAUUGUGAGUAAAGUGGAGAAAGGUGAGAGCCAAGUGGGAAGAGAUGAGGUCAGACAGGUCCUGGAACUAGAUCACACCAAGCUUCGUAGGUCAUUGUAGGUCGUUUACCGAGUAGGUAAUCUGCCCUUACAUUUGAACACCUCUCUGGUUCAUUGGUUGAAAAUACAUUAUGGACGAGCAAGAGCAAGGAGACUGUUUAGGAGGCUUUUGAGGCAAUCCAUCAGGGUUUUGGCGGUGGAAGUUGGUAGGAAGUGGUGAGUUCUGAGUAUGUAUUGAAAGUCAAGCCAAUCAGAUUUGCUAGCAGAUUGGAUGUGAGGUGUAAGAGAGAGAACGGUCAGGGAUGACUUCAAAGUUUUUUGACACAAGUGAUUAAGUUGGUUUUUACCAAGAUGGAAAAGAAUGUGAGAGGAGCAGGGAUGGAGAUGGAGUAAAAUAUUGGGAAAUCAGUCUGAGAUGUGUCACCUUUGACAUGCCUGUUAAACAGCAUGACAGUGUUGAGCAGGUAAUUGAAUAUCAUGUCUGAAGUUCAGGGUAGAGGUCUGGGAAGGUACAGUUUUGGGAAUCAUUGGCCUAUAGAUGGAUAUUUAAAACUGUGUGACUAGAGGAGAUCAUCAAGAGAAUGAAUAAUGUAGUCAGAAAAGACCAGCAAGGUCUAAGGUCCAAUAUUGAGAGAUUGAUGAAAUAAGGAAGAAGAGUGCAAAAGAGACCAAGAGGGAAUGGCCGUUGAGUUAGGAGGAAAGCCAGACAGGUGUGUGCCCUGGAAACCAAAAGAAGAAACAGUUCCAAGGAGCGUUCGUGUCAGAUGCUGCCGAUAAUCCUGCGGACAUGGAGUGGUGUCAAAGAAGAACUGUCUCCCAUGGAGUGUGUCUUGGAGCCUCUCUUAAUCACAGUACCAGGUUCAGUGAACUAUGGUCAUGGGGCUGUUGAUAUUUUUAUGAAAUGAAAUGUCUGUUUCUGGAAGACAGAUCUGAGAGAGAAAUAUGUAGAGAGAUGACUGGCAGAUUGAGAAAUCUGUCGUAGGAGCAUCAUUCAAAUACAUUAAUAGCAAAAGGGAUGGAUACAAGAAUAGAUGUUUUUAUCGUUUCAGGAAUUAAACUCAAACACCCCCUUGAACCUGUCUAUAUCUUGUAUCUUCACCUUUUCUGCAAACACUUUGGUUUAAAAUGUAUCUGUGGAAGAUCCAGUUUAAUUAUUUUAAUCCUACCAAUCAUAACUUCUUGGUGGAGUAUAGGACUUUGAAUGUUCUCCUUUGGUAUUAAAGUUUUAAAGCUGACUUCAUUUGCUUAUUUUUAAUCUGCCUAUCCAUUAAUCGGAGUAAAUAAUUUUAUAAAGUCAUUUGGGGAUUUAGCUAAUUAAAUUUAAUUAUGUGUUUGGGGCAGAUUUGCUGUCUUACAUAAUUGUUCUAGUUUAAAUAUAUGACAAUGGACAAUUUUUUUUCUUAACCAAGACAGUCUGAUUAUUUUUCUUUGAUAACAACCUUGUCCUCACUACAAAUUAUUUUAAGUGUGAAAUGUAAUAAUUUUAUGUCAUGUAAAAUAUCAGCCAAGUCAGCUUUAUAUUUCUUUUUUUCUUUUUAAAUUAUUUAUUUACUCAUGAGAGAGACAGAGAGAGAGGCAGAGACACAGGCAAAGGGAGAAGCAGGCUCCACGCAGGGAGCCCGAUGUGGGACUUGAUCCCAGGUCUCCAGGAUCACCCCCUGGACCGAAGGUGGCACUAAACCGCUGAGCCACCCGGGCUGCCCCCAAGUCAGCUUUAAAAACUUAAAGUUCAGAGUUAGCCUACCUCAGCCUUCACCGUCCUGCAAUUUAUUUGAAGCCUGGAAAGACAGAACAGGGUGCGGGAUAGCAUUAGAAAGGAUCCUGGAAACGAAGCACGAAGCAUGAUAGAGCAUAUGAAACCUGUCCUCGUUAGGAAUACUAGGGUUCAGUUGAUCACAAUUCAACAAAGACAAUGAAGCUGCAAAACAAUCCAGAAAAAAAAAUGAUCAAAGAGAAAAAAAUGGCCUCUGCCGGCUUAAAAAGAUUAGGUUUCUUAA